This 370-nucleotide ribosomal RNA is filed under the name uncultured Rhodocyclaceae bacterium. Its description in RNAcentral is "bacterial SSU rRNA". It matches the Rfam family "Bacterial small subunit ribosomal RNA", at positions 1013 to 1382 of the family's 1533-position model. Lineage: Bacteria; Pseudomonadati; Pseudomonadota; Betaproteobacteria; Rhodocyclales; Rhodocyclaceae. The record is from RNAcentral.
AGUGCUCGCAAGAGAACCGGAACACAGGUGCUGCAUGGCUGUCGUCAGCUCGUGUCGUGAGAUGUUGGGUUAAGUCCCGCAACGAGCGCAACCCUUGUCAUUAGUUGCCAUCAUUUGGUUGGGCACUCUAAUGAGACUGCCGGUGACAAACCGGAGGAAGGUGGGGAUGACGCCAAGUCCUCAUGGCCCUUAUGGGUAGGGCUUCACACGUCAUACAAUGGUCGGUACAGAGGGUUGCCAACCCGCGAGGGGGAGCUAAUCCCACAAAGCCGAUCGUAGUCCGGAUCGCAGUCUGCAACUCGACUGCGUGAAGUCGGAAUCGCUAGUAAUCGUGGAUCAGCAUGUCACGGUGAAUACGUUCCCGGGUCUU